GGGUCAGUAGGUUGGUCGUGCCACCGGUACGUACUGGUCUCACUGAUUCCUCCUUCCUGAAGAACCGUAAUGCCAUUAAUUUGGUGUUGCGGGGAGACAGGACUGUUACUUUGAAAAAAUUAAAGUGUUUAAAGCAAGCUAACGCUUGAAUACAUUAGCAUGGAAUAAUGAAAUAGGACGAUCGAUCCUAUUUUGUUGGUUUCUAGGAUUGACGUA
This 216-nucleotide ribosomal RNA is filed under the name Glomeromycotina sp. RNAcentral's name for it is "partial small subunit ribosomal RNA". The stretch from base 40 to 216 matches the Rfam family "Eukaryotic small subunit ribosomal RNA", at positions 686 to 864 of the family's 1831-position model. Lineage: Eukaryota; Fungi; Glomeromycota. The record is from RNAcentral.